UACAGUAGUAGGGCGUAUUCCCGGCAAACGUUUUUCGGCUUGCCGAGAAUACGCCACAUCUGACACCAGCCUUAAGGGCUGUUAAAAUGCCUGGGUGAGUGGAUGUAAGGACCAGUUCGACAUUUGCUUAUAGUGAAACUGAUUUGGAGCAUAUAUCGAGUCAAGACGACCAACUGAAAUUAAAUUUUGGAGUUGGCGAUACAGAUGAACCUGCAUUUGCACUAUUGCAGCUUGAGAAAAAGACUGACAUUUAAGACUACAUCGUUCAACACUAACGGAGUAUGUUUGCAAUGGCAAAAUUCCUAGAGGCUUAAGAGUGAAUAGUUAGCCAGCUAGUCAUUGGGAAACAUGGAUCUCCUGCCGUAAAAUUGGUGCGGGUGAGUUACCUAUUACAGGAGAUAGAGAUAUACAAUAAGGCCGGCCGUUACAGAGAAACCGAGGCACAAGGAGCUCAAGACUGAAGAAACGGAUACAAAAAGGUCUGAUCCAGGUUACGCAAAUUCAGCCUUUUCUCCUUGAGACGGAAAUGGAA
This is a long non-coding RNA of Xenopus tropicalis (tropical clawed frog), 532 nucleotides long. RefSeq lists it as uncharacterized. The record is from RefSeq and is a predicted model, not a curated record. Lineage: Eukaryota; Metazoa; Chordata; Amphibia; Anura; Pipidae. The transcript has 4 exons.